GGCACGCCUAACACAUGCAAGUCGAACGAAGUAGCAAUACUUAGUGGCAGACGGGUGAGUAACAUGUAGGUAUCUGCCCUAUGGCCUGGAAUAACACGAGGAAACUUGUGCUAAUACCGGAUAAGUCUUUACGGAGAAAGCUUUAUGCACCAUUGGAUGAGCCUGCACUUGAUUAGUUUGUUGGUAGGGUAAUGGCCUACCAAGACUGUGAUCAAUAGCUGAUUUGAGAGGAUGAUCAGCCACAUUGGGACUGAGACACGGCCCAAACUCCUACGGGAGGCAGCAGUGGGGAAUCUUGCACAAUGGAGGAAACUCUGAUGCAGCGAUGCCGCGUGAGUGAAGAAGGCCCUUGGGUUGUAAAGCUCUUUCGUCGGGGAAGAAAAUGACUGUACCCGAAUAAGAAGGUCCGGCUAA
This 414-nucleotide ribosomal RNA is filed under the name uncultured bacterium. RNAcentral describes it as "bacterial SSU rRNA". It matches the Rfam family "Bacterial small subunit ribosomal RNA", at positions 41 to 500 of the family's 1533-position model. The record is from RNAcentral.